AGAAUCAACGCUGGCGGCGUGCCUAACACAUGCAAGUCGAACGCGAAAGGGGAGCAAUCCCUGAGUAGAGUGGCAAACGGGUGAGUAACACGUGGGUGACCUGCCUCCGAGUGGGGGAUAACGUCCCGAAAGGGACGCUAAUACCGCAUAACAUCCUGCUUUUGGAAAAGCGGAGAUCAAAGCUGGGGAUCGCAAGACCUGGCGCUUGAAGAGGGGCCCGCGCCUGAUUAGCUAGUUGGUGGGGUAAUGGCUCACCAAGGCUACGAUCAGUA
RNAcentral lists this ribosomal RNA (272 nucleotides) under uncultured bacterium. RNAcentral describes it as "partial small subunit ribosomal RNA". It matches the Rfam family "Bacterial small subunit ribosomal RNA", at positions 26 to 285 of the family's 1533-position model. The record is from RNAcentral.